This 300-nucleotide ribosomal RNA is filed under the name Triticum aestivum (bread wheat). RNAcentral describes it as "partial small subunit ribosomal RNA". Lineage: Eukaryota; Viridiplantae; Streptophyta; Magnoliopsida; Poales; Poaceae. The record is from RNAcentral.
AUGGGCGAGUUCGACGAUUACUGGGCGCGGGCGUACAGGGGCGACCCCGCGGUGCCGCACUCCGACCCGCAGCGGCUCAUCUCCACCUGGACCGGCGCCUUCGCCCUCGGCGCCGCCGCCUGCGUCCACCACCACGUCACCGGCCUCGCCUCCAACCUCAAGUCCCUUCCCCACAGGCAUGCCGUUCUACCUAGCACCUAUCACCAACCGCCCUUCACGCUUAGCUGGCAAGACAUGACAAUGAUGCUCGAUCAGAAGCGCUGGAAGAAAAUUCUUGACAAGAAGCAGCAACAAGCUUAA